UUGGAGGGCAAGUCUGGUGCCAGCAGCCGCGGUAAUUCCAGCUCCAAUAGCGUAUAUUAAAGUUGUUGCAGUUAAAAAGCUCGUAGUUGAAUUUUGGAUUCUUCCAAUUGGUCCAUCUUUUAGAUGAGUACUGGUUGUGUGGGGUCUAUCCGCCUGGUAAUACGUAAUGUCCUUUAUUGGAUGUUGCGGGUAGUCAGGACCUUUACCUUGAAAAAAUUAGAGUGUUUAAAGCAGGCUUAUGCCGGAAUACAUUAGCAUGGAAUAAUAGAAUAGGGCGAAGUUGUUUUAUUUUGUUGGUUUCUAGGACAACCGUAAUGAUUAAUAGUGAUAGUUGGGGGCAUUAGUAUUCAAUUGUCAGAGGUGAAAUUCUUGGAUUUAUUGAAGACUAACUACUGCGAAAGCAUUUGCCAAGGAUGUUUUCAUUAAUCAAGAACGAAAGUUAGGGGAUCGAAGACGAUCAGAUACCGUCGUAGUCUUAACCAUAAACUAUGCCGACUAGGGAUCGGGCGAUGUUGUUUCCAUGACUCGCUCGGCACCUUAUGGGAAACCAAAGUGUUUGGGUUC
Molecule: ribosomal RNA, 564 nt
Filed under: uncultured Glomeromycotina
Lineage: Eukaryota; Fungi; Glomeromycota
Description: SSU rRNA
Rfam family: Eukaryotic small subunit ribosomal RNA
Source: RNAcentral